Molecule: ribosomal RNA, 252 nt
Filed under: uncultured bacterium
Lineage: Bacteria
Description: partial 16S ribosomal RNA
Rfam family: Bacterial small subunit ribosomal RNA
Source: RNAcentral
UACAGAGGUCCCAAGCGUUGUUCGGAUUCACUGGGCGUAAGGGUGCGUAGGCGGUCGGGUAAGUCUGAUGUGAAAUCUCACAGCUUAACUGUGAAACUGCAUUGGAUACUAUUCGGCUUGAGAGUUGGAGGGGGACUGGAAUUCUUGGUGUAGCAGUGAAAUGCGUAGAUAUCAAGAAGGAACACCAGUGGCGAAGGCGAGUCCCUGGACAACUUCUGACGCUGAGGCAGCGAAGCUAGGGGAGCAAACAGG